This 482-nucleotide ribosomal RNA is filed under the name uncultured bacterium. RNAcentral's name for it is "partial 16S ribosomal RNA". It matches the Rfam family "Bacterial small subunit ribosomal RNA", at positions 30 to 507 of the family's 1533-position model. The record is from RNAcentral.
AUUGAACGCUGGCGGCAUGCUUUACACAUGCAAGUCGAACGGUAACAGGUCUUCGGAUGCUGACGAGUGGCGAACGGGUGUGUAAUACAUCGGAACGUGCCUAGUAGUGGGGGAUAACUACUCGAAAGAGUAGCUAAUACCGCAUGAGAUCUACGGAUGAAAGCAUGGGACCUUCUGGCCUUGUUCUACUAUAGCGGCUGAUGGCAGAUUAGGUAGUUGUUGGGGUAAAGGCUUACCAAGCCUGCGAUCUGUAGCUGGUCUGAGAGGACGACCAGCCACACUGGAACUGAGACACGGCCCAGACUCCUACGGGAGGCAGCAGUGGGGAAUAUUGGACAAUGGGCGAAAGCCUGAUCCAGCAAUGCCGCGUGCAGGAUGAAGGACCUCGGGUUGUAAACUGCUUUUGUACGGAAGGAAAAGAAUGGGGCUAAUAUCCCCGGGUAAUGACGGUACCGUAAGAAUAAGCACCGGCUAACUACGUG